This is a non-coding RNA of Picea glauca (white spruce), 73 nucleotides long. The record is from Rfam. NCBI's taxonomy places the organism in Eukaryota, Viridiplantae, Streptophyta, Pinopsida, Pinales, Pinaceae.
GGGGAUGUAGCUCAAACGGUAGAGCGCUUUCUUUGCAUGCGGGAAGUAUGAGGUUCGAUACCUCGCAUCUCCA